UACGUAGGGUGCGAGCGUUGUCCGGAAUUAUUGGGCGUAAAGGGCUCGUAGGCGGUUUGUCACGUCGGGAGUGAAAACUCGGGGCUUAACCCCGAGCCUGCUUCCGAUACGGGCAGACUAGAGGUAUGCAGGGGAGAACGGAAUUCCUGGUGUAGCGGUGAAAUGCGUAGAGAUGCGGAGGAACACCGAUGGCGAAGGCAGCCCCCUGGGCCAACACUGACGCUCAGGCACGAAAGCGUGGGGAGCAAACAGG
This 253-nucleotide ribosomal RNA is filed under the name uncultured bacterium. Its description in RNAcentral is "partial 16S ribosomal RNA". It matches the Rfam family "Bacterial small subunit ribosomal RNA", at positions 524 to 776 of the family's 1533-position model. The record is from RNAcentral.